This is a non-coding RNA of Xyrichtys novacula (pearly razorfish), 264 nucleotides long. The record is from the annotation of a GenBank genome assembly. Lineage: Eukaryota; Metazoa; Chordata; Actinopteri; Labriformes; Labridae.
GGGAAGAAAAACAUUUCUUGCCCUGUCUUUCUUCUCUUUUUAUUUCACACACAUCGUUUCUUUCCCUCUGUUAUCCCUUCUUUUUCUUCAGGAAAAUUAAUUUCUCUCUGAACAUCUUUUCAAUUGGCAAAAAAAAACAGUUGCUGAAAAACAAACAUGACAGCAAGUUAAUCAAGGGAGCCUGAGAGAGGAAAAAGAAAAGAUGGAGAAAAGAAAUGAGAAAAUAAAGGAGAAAGAUGGAGAGACUUUGGGUGUUUCUUCACC